RNAcentral lists this ribosomal RNA (845 nucleotides) under Zanclospora brevispora. Its description in RNAcentral is "partial large subunit ribosomal RNA". It matches the Rfam family "Eukaryotic large subunit ribosomal RNA", at positions 65 to 943 of the family's 3401-position model. The record is from RNAcentral. Lineage: Eukaryota; Fungi; Ascomycota; Sordariomycetes; Chaetosphaeriales; Chaetosphaeriaceae.
CCAACAGGGAUUGCCCCAGUAACGGCGAGUGAAGCGGCAACAGCUCAAAUUUGAAAUCUGGCCCCAGGCCCGAGUUGUAAUUUGCAGAGGAUGCUUCGGGCGCGGCGCCUCCCAAGUCCCCUGGAACGGGGCGCCUGAGAGGGUGAGAGCCCCGUACGGUUGGAUGCCUAGCCCUUGUGAAGCUCCUUCGACGAGUCGAGUAGUUUGGGAAUGCUGCUCAAAAUGGGAGGUAGACCCCUUCUAAAGCUAAAUACCGGCCAGAGACCGAUAGCGCACAAGUAGAGUGAUCGAAAGAUGAAAAGCACUUUGAAAAGAGGGUUAAACAGCACGUGAAAUUGUUGAAAGGGAAGCGCUUGUGACCAGACUUGCGCCGGGGCGAUCAUCCGGCGUUCUCGCCGGUGCACUCGCCCCGGCUCAGGCCAGCGUCGGUUCGGGCGGGGGGAGAAAUGCGCUGGGAACGUGGCUCCCCCGGGAGUGUUAUAGCCCAGCGCGUCAUGUCCCCGCCCGGACCGAGGUUCGCGCUCUGCAAGGACGCUGGCGUAAUGGUCACCAGCGGCCCGUCUUGAAACACGGACCAAGGAGUCGAGGUUCUGCGCGAGUGUCUGGGUGUCAAACCCGCACGCGCAAUGAAAGUGAACGUAGGUGGGAGCUUCGGCGCACCACCGACCGAUCCUGAUGUUCUCGGAUGGAUUUGAGUAAGAGCGUAGGGCCUCGGACCCGAAAGAUGGUGAACUAUGCUUGGAUAGGGUGAAGCCAGAGGAAACUCUGGUGGAGGCUCGCAGCGGUUCUGACGUGCAAAUCGAUCGUCAAAUCUGAGCAUGGGGGCGAAAGACUAAUCGAACCAU